RNAcentral lists this long non-coding RNA (236 nucleotides) under Fukomys damarensis (Damara mole-rat). Its description in RNAcentral is "lncRNA (ENSFDAG00000033645.1)". The record is from RNAcentral. Lineage: Eukaryota; Metazoa; Chordata; Mammalia; Rodentia; Bathyergidae.
UGAACACUUGCUAAAGCCUGGGGUGGGACUCAGCACAAUCCAGUGAGUGAAAGAAGGCCAGAGCCUCCGUCCUAACCGAGUACGAAAGAAGCAUGAGAUGAUACCACUAGGUUGUCAGGGGCAUUUUGGUGGAAACAUCUGAAAAUUCUCAGCUGAAGACACAGAGCAAGAAAAAAAAAGUGGGAAGCAGAUGAGAUAAAAGAUAAAGAAGACACAAAGAGGAAGACAUGUAAGCA